CUAAUUACCUUGACCUUGGUAUCGGCAAAUUUGUUUGUAUAUUGUCAGUUUUUCACAGCUUGACUUCGGGGUUUAUAAUUGCUGAUAACAGUAAUUAGGCACAUGCGAGGGAGACUAAAAUCUGGGAUCAGAAUAUACCAUGGAAGCAAUGCAUUGGGUAUGGGUCUGACAACGCUAGUGUCAUGGUUGGCCGUCACAACUCUGUCCUAUCUCGUAUUCGUGAGAAGCAACCUGAUGUGUCUGAUAUGGGCUGUGUAUGCCAUUUAGUCAACACUUGUGUACAGUGAAGUCAAAAAACAUGUAUGACAUAUAAAGACAGUUCUAAUUGUGUAAAGUGUGUAAGUGAAAGUUGAGUCAAUUACAUAAACAUCAAAACACAAGUGCAGUGGAAAAAAAAACAUGUAUGUUUUAUAAAGAAAGUUUUUUAAUGAUAAAAUUGGGUUGUUAAUUUGUUAUCAUGCAAAAUAAAAUGUUUUUAAAGAA
Molecule: long non-coding RNA, 483 nt
Organism: Ruditapes philippinarum (Manila clam)
Lineage: Eukaryota; Metazoa; Mollusca; Bivalvia; Venerida; Veneridae
Exons: 2
Source: RefSeq, a predicted model, not a curated record